RNAcentral lists this ribosomal RNA (253 nucleotides) under uncultured prokaryote. RNAcentral's name for it is "partial 16S ribosomal RNA". It matches the Rfam family "Bacterial small subunit ribosomal RNA", at positions 525 to 777 of the family's 1533-position model. The record is from RNAcentral.
ACGAAGGGGGCGAGCGUUGUUCGGAUUUACUGGGCGUAAAGGGCGCGCAGGCGGCCGCGCAAGUCGAGUGUGAAAGCCCCGAGCUUAACUUGGGAAUUGCGCUCGAAACUACGUGGCUGGAGUGUGGCAGAGGAAGGUGGAAUUCCAGGUGUAGCGGUGAAAUGCGUAGAGAUCUGGAGGAACACCGAUGGCGAAGGCAGCCUUCUGGGCCAACACUGACGCUCAUGCACGAAAGCGUGGGGAGCAAACAGGA